UACAGAGGCUCCAAGCGUUAGGCGGAAUCACUGGGCUUAAAGCGUGCGUAGGCGGCUUCUCAAGUGCUUUGUGAAAGCCCUCGGCUCAACCGAGGAAUUGCUUGGCAUACUGGGAAGCUUGAAUCAUCUAGGGGCAACUGGAACUGACGGUGGAGCGGUGAAAUGCGUAGAUAUCGUCAGGAACGCCAACGGCGAAAGCAGGUUGCUGGGGAUGCAUUGACGCUGAGGCACGAAAGCCAGGGGAGCAAACGGG
RNAcentral lists this ribosomal RNA (253 nucleotides) under uncultured prokaryote. RNAcentral's name for it is "partial 16S ribosomal RNA". It matches the Rfam family "Bacterial small subunit ribosomal RNA", at positions 524 to 776 of the family's 1533-position model. The record is from RNAcentral.